UGCUCGCUUCCGCAGCACAUAUACUGAAAU
This 30-nucleotide small nuclear RNA is filed under the name Cervus elaphus hippelaphus. The record is from RNAcentral. Lineage: Eukaryota; Metazoa; Chordata; Mammalia; Artiodactyla; Cervidae.